Molecule: long non-coding RNA, 3012 nt
Organism: Anas platyrhynchos (mallard)
Lineage: Eukaryota; Metazoa; Chordata; Aves; Anseriformes; Anatidae
Source: RefSeq, a predicted model, not a curated record
GGAACUUGCAGGGCCCUCCAGUCACACCCAAGGUUAGUCGUGGUCUGAAGCAUUAUGGCUGCAAAAUCUGGGGCUCAUAACACCCAGCAUGUGAAGUACCUUGAGCUACCGCGAAACUGUGCCUGCGUGUUGGCCUUUUUCAGGAAGACUGUGCUCUAAAUUAAGUAAACAUCCACUCAGGGAAGCCCCACAGCCUGGGUUGUGCAAGACAUUAGAUUAGGUUUACAAGGCUGUCUCCUAGAUUUACAACUGCAAAACAGCCCAAUCCGCCCCCCAGCUGACUGGGCACAAUGUUACCCCCCUGGAAAUCUAAGCAAGAGCUAGCUGGGCGAGCCGACCUGUGAAUAGCUCCCACUGCUUGCCUGACAGCAAAAUCUGCUCACAAAUAUGCCAUGCUUAUCUGGUAGCUUGUUUUUAAGUUUAUGUCUAGAGAUUGUACAAAUGAAACACAUCAGUGAGAUUCAGUGUCCGUGGAUGUGAGUUACAGACUGCUGUUUUGUUGUUUUUCUAAAUUGGCUUUAUCUGAAGCUUGCUUCUAUGCUAAACUGAGGAAAAGCAUGGAGGACAAAGAAAAUUCCUCAGUUUCAGAUAGAGUCAGUUCAAAAGUUGAGCACUGCUCUGCAUAAGAGAAUUGUGGUUGAAUAAUGAAAUUUUAAAACAACUCAGAGACGUACGCUGCCGCUUACUUCCCCCUUGGUAAAACUAACAUGCAAGUGCAGAAGUAAACGUAAUCUGUGAUGAGAAUUUCUUCUGGCUUUCAAAACAUCAGCAAGAGGAUACUCAGGCUGCACAUUUGGGGCCUCUUCUGAUGCAUGACCUUCUCAAAAUUUAUUUGCGUGGCUGCUGCCAACAGGCCUCUGAAAAGCACCAAAGUUUUUGAAUUGCUGUUGGGGUCAUCUUACUCAGCUGGGGAGCCAUGACUUGGUGGAUAUAUCAGCUAUCCCACUGCUAUGUAUGAUAUGUUUCCUUUUCCUUCUGCGUGUGGGCAGCCAAUGUGAACUCCAUCUGUUCAAAAUCAGACCAAGUUUUUCAUUUUUUUUCUUUCCUGGGAAAGAAUUUUUAUUCAUCCUGUAGUUGCCCAUACCAUUGGGAUUAGGUGGCCACUUUGCUGGAUGGAUGGAUGGAGAGGAAAGAUAUCUGCUUAGGGUAAGACUGGCUGCAUCCAUUUCGUAGCCCUCUGCUUUGGGAAAAAAAAAAAAAAAAAAAGCAUCAGAGUUAGACCAGAAGAAAAAAAAAAGGGAAGGACCAAAAAGCUCAAUUAAAAAAAAAAAAAAAGAAAAUCAAUUUGCUGACUGCUCCAUUUAUUCUGAAUGACAAGGGAAGGUAUGAAGGCCUGUUCUUUUCUGUUCUCAGUGAGUGACAGAUUAUCCCAGCUGGUUACACAGCGGAUUUCCACCCCUACAUCAAUGAUGAUGAAUUCCUGCCUCUCCACUGGAUACCCAUGAACUUAAAAGCUGCCAUUCACACAAAUGCUGUAGAAUAACCACGUCAGCUCCAGCUAUUGGUCUCAUUUUGACCAUACCAAAGUUGUAUGCCCCUCUGACCAGCAGGACCUCAUCAAGGAGUUCUCCAAACUAGCCAAGCCAAGUAUAUCCAUGCACAGCUCUUUUCAGAUCUUCCUUAAGCUGUGUGGAUUUCUGAAAUACUGAAGUCCAGAGAAGUGUAAUGAAGCUGAUGAAGGGUCUAGAAAACAGGUCUUACAAGGAACAGCUGAGGGAGCUGGGCUGUUUAGCCUGGAAAAAGGGAUGCUCAAGGGAGACCUCAUCGUGCUUGACAAUUAUCUUAAAGGAGGCUGUAGUGAGGUAGAGAUUGUCUUAUCACUUUGUGUCUGGGAGAAGAGCCCAAAGAGAGAUGGCCUCAAGUUGCACUAGAGGAGGUUUAGGUUGGACAUUAAGAGAAAUUUCUUCACCAAAAGGGUUGUGAGGCAUUGGAACAGGCUGCCCAGGGAAGUGGUUGAGUCACUGCUCCUGGAGGUCUUCAAGAAACAUGUAGAUGUAGAACUUAGUAGCAUGGUUUAGUGGUGGACUUCAAUAGUAGGUUAAGGGUUGGAGUAGAUGAUCUGAGAGGUCUUUCCCAACCUGAAUGACUGUGAUUCUCCCCUUUCACAGGAUUUAAGUCCCCUUUCACAGAAGUAACACUGCAAGAGAAGCCCUGUGUGGGGGCACUCCUGUCCUUACUGCGUUCAGGGGAUGAAUCCUGUUGGCAUUCAGGGUUUCUGGGUCUACACAGGAGCUUUUAGCCAUGUGGGCUUGCUGGUCACAUCUCAGGCAAGGUGGCUGGAUCACUGGUGGGACAGGAGAUCCCAGGCUGCUGUAUGCAAACCCUUGUUGGGAGGGCACUGUCUGGUGGGCUGCUGGAGCAUCUGGCAUCCUGGCAGAAGAGUGGACAGUGCAAAGCAGAGCAGUGCUGAGAGUAGCAUUUGGUUUACUUUCCAGUUCCUCCCAGGUCUUUUAACCCAGAGGUGGAAUUACGCUGCGAGGGGAAGGUUAGAAACAUGCAAGUGCUCCUCAUGCAAAACCUAAUCUGGUUCGUUGGAGGUCGCGUACAUGGUUCUGUGAUUUACUUCAGGCUGAGAACAGCAUUUAGAAAGCCCUGUCACCACUCUUAAUUAUGUUGUGCAGAGCUCCUGGCUUAUUUUACAUUGUAGCAGAUGAGUGUAAUUAGCGUGUUUAGGAUCAGAGCGAUUGACUCGGCCACACGAAAGCCCAUGGCCAGCACCAGCAGUCGGGCAGCUCCAGCGGGGCUCACGGGCUCUGCUGAGAGGGGUUUCUGCUGACACUAGCUUCAUCUAUGCCAUUGUUUAAAGCCAAGAGCAAGGAGCAAUUUUAAAGUAAUAGAUAUAAGUGAAUUACUGCUGUAAAUCAGGGGAACAAAAAUCCCACUAAAUGGAGUAGGAUGUACCAUCUACUAUUUAGAGGAUGUACCAUCUACUGCUUACUCAGCUGUGCUUCAACAUAACCCUCCCACAAACUUUUUUCCCCAUACAGAAAAAUAAAUUAGGAACUAAAACAA